Gallus gallus (chicken) is the source of this 69-nucleotide microRNA precursor. The record is from Ensembl. NCBI's taxonomy places the organism in Eukaryota, Metazoa, Chordata, Aves, Galliformes, Phasianidae.
UGGGGAGGAUAGGGAGAAAGGGUGCUGCACGUCCCCUGGGUCUUAAUUCUUCUCUCUGUCUUUCUCAGG